Molecule: long non-coding RNA, 1038 nt
Filed under: Calidris pygmaea (Spoon-billed sandpiper)
Lineage: Eukaryota; Metazoa; Chordata; Aves; Charadriiformes; Scolopacidae
Description: lncRNA (ENSCPGG00000001154.1)
Source: RNAcentral
CGGCGGGGGGCUGAGGCUACCGAAACGGGGCAACCCAGCCAACAGCCCGGCGGGGGCGGCCGAGGAGGCGGAGGGAGAGGCGGAGGCGAGAGCGGCGGCCGGUAAAGGCAUGGAGGGCCGGCUGAGGAUGUCGUUGAUGCCGUGCGGGGUGGCCGCCGAGAGCUGCGGAGGGGCCGAACCCAACCCCGAGAGCCCCCCCGGGGCGGCGGCGGAGGCGGCGGCGGAGGUCGCCUUCAAGCCGGGGGAGCCGAGCGGCGGGGAGGGGGAAGCGGAGGCGGGCGAAGCGGAGGAAGAGGAGGAGGAGGCCGGUCCGGAGGGCAAGGGGUACGCGGGGUAGAGGGGUGCCUUCAUCUCGGCCAUGCUGUGCAGGGCGGCCAGGGGCGGGCUGCCCAGCAGGAAGGCGCCCUGCCGGGGGGCGCCGUCCAUCUGCCCCAGCGCCAGCAUCCCCGCCGCCGCCGCCGCCGCCACGCCGCCGGGCCCCUAAAACCUCGGGGUCCCGGCGGCCGGCCGGGGGGUGCCUCCCGCACCGGAGCCCCGCAUCCAGCCCGCGGGGGACGUCGCCUCCUCCUCCUCCUCCUCCUCUUCCUCCUCCUCCUCCUCUUCCUAGAGGCGGGGAGCUGAGCGCCCGAGCGGCGGCCCCGCCGCCCCGCCGGGCAUCGGGGCUGCGCCUCGGCGGCUUCCCGGCGAGAAAAAAGAGCGCGGAGCUGCUGUCGGCGGGUUUAUCUAUAUCUCUUUAUCUCUAUAUACGCGUAUAUGCGCAGGGUCCGUGCGUAUACGCGUAUAUACCUCCUCUCCCCGGGCCUGCCAGGAGCUCACAGCGGCGCGGGGGCCGCCGCCUCCUCCCCGGUGCCCCGCAUCCCUCCCGGCGCUGGUCCCGCUGGCUCUCCGGGGGAUGGAUGGAUGGAUGGAUGGAUGGAUGGAUGGAUGGAUGGAGGGCGGCCGUCGGGGCUGUGGGCGCUGCGGGCUCGGCUCGGGGCGCACUGCCGGGCCCCCCCCGCUCCCCGCCGCCUUUAGCGGGGGCAGGGCCGGCGGCUCGGG